RNAcentral lists this transfer RNA (90 nucleotides) under Acetilactobacillus jinshanensis. It matches the Rfam family "tRNA". Rfam says of the family: Transfer RNA (tRNA) molecules are approximately 80 nucleotides in length. Their secondary structure includes four short double-helical elements and three loops (D, anti-codon, and T loops). Further hydrogen bonds mediate the characteristic L-shaped molecular structure. tRNAs have two regions of fundamental functional importance: the anti-codon, which is responsible for specific mRNA codon recognition, and the 3' end, to which the tRNAs corresponding amino acid is attached (by aminoacyl-tRNA synthetases). tRNAs cope with the degeneracy of the genetic code in two manners: having more than one tRNA (with a specific anti-codon) for a particular amino acid; and 'wobble' base-pairing, i.e. permitting non-standard base-pairing at the 3rd anti-codon position. RNAcentral also lists the same sequence under 1 other name. The record is from Rfam by way of RNAcentral. Lineage: Bacteria; Bacillati; Bacillota; Bacilli; Lactobacillales; Lactobacillaceae.
GGAGAGUUACUCAAGUGGCUGAAGAGGACGGUUUCGAAAACCGUUAGGUGGACUAAAAUCCGCGCGGGGGUUCGAAUCCCCCACUCUCCA